RNAcentral lists this ribosomal RNA (459 nucleotides) under uncultured bacterium. RNAcentral's name for it is "SSU rRNA". It matches the Rfam family "Bacterial small subunit ribosomal RNA", at positions 26 to 518 of the family's 1533-position model. The record is from RNAcentral.
AGAAUCAACGCUGGCGGCGUGCCUAACACAUGCAAGUCGAACGAGAAAGUGGAGCAAUCCAUGAGUAAAGUGGCGCACGGGUGAGUAACACGUGACUAACCUACCCUCGAGUGGGGAAUAACCUCGGGAAACCGGGCUAACACCGCAUAACAUCUACGGAUCAAAUGCGUAAGCAGCUUGAGGAGGGGUCGCGGCUGAUUAGCUAGUUGGCGGGGUAAUGGCCCACCAAGGCAGUGAUCAGUAGCCGGCCUGAGAGGGCGCACGGCCACACUGGAACUGAAACACGGUCCAGACUCCUACGGGAGGCAGCAGUGGGGAAUUUUGCGCAAUGGGGGAAACCCUGACGCAGCAACGCCGCGUGGAGGAUGAAGCCCCUUGGGGUGUAAACGUCCUUUCGAUCGGGACGAUUAUGACGGUACCGGAUGAAGAAGCACCGGCUAACUCUGUGCCAGCAGCCGC